GGUUGUUUUCUUGUGUGUCUGUGUGUUCAGUUUCUGGACCAUCCUCACCUAGCAAGGCCUUUGGCUUGUCAGAAAACACUGCAUCAACUGCAGGGAGCAGGGUCCUUCUGGGCUGGGACAGACCCCUGUCCUGCCUCUUGGAUGACCUAAGAACCUUGAAGGAAAGCUUCACUUUAUUGGGAGACUGAUGACCACCAGAUGCUGUGAAAUCCUCUUUCCUGGGCCGGUGGUCUCCUACACGGGGGAUCUUGGUAAGAGAUCACCAGUUAUGGCCUCCCAGGCUCCUUUGUGAAAUACAAGCCUUGUUCCUUUGGAGACAUCCAAAUGCCUGCCAAGGAUCUCCUGGUCACUGCCCAAGAAGGCACGAAGUUUCUUCAGGGUGUUCUUGUUUAUAAUAAAACUUUGGAAUAAAAGUAGGCUUGGCCUCCCUCUCUAUUGCCUGACCAUGUGGCCUGUCCCCUCUCCAGGAUGGACAAAGGUUAAUUAGUGCCUCAAUUCUUUCUUCCCCAUCAAGGUAAGUAACUGGCACUUGGGGAAUAAUUUAUUUUUAAUCAGCUCAGUCCUAAUUGGCGUCUACCAUACUUUGUCUCUGUCUUGGGUUUCUUUCUACUGGGACAUAGGGUAGUCACACACACACCCUCAC
RNAcentral lists this long non-coding RNA (643 nucleotides) under Ictidomys tridecemlineatus (thirteen-lined ground squirrel). RNAcentral's name for it is "lncRNA (ENSSTOG00000029962.1)". The record is from RNAcentral. Lineage: Eukaryota; Metazoa; Chordata; Mammalia; Rodentia; Sciuridae.